UACGUAGGGAGCAAGCGUUGUCCGGAAUCAUUGGGCGUAAAGCGCACGUAGGCGGCUUGGUAUGUCGGGUGUGAAAUCCCCGGGCUCAACCUGGGAACUGCAUCCGAAACUGCCUUGCUAGAGUAUGGGAGAGGGAAGUGGAAUUUCCGGUGUAGCGGUGAAAUGCGUAGAUAUCGGAAGGAACAUCAGUGGCGAAGGCGACUUCCUGGACCAAUACUGACGCUCAGGUGCGAAAGCGUGGGGAGCAAACAGG
Molecule: ribosomal RNA, 253 nt
Filed under: uncultured bacterium
Lineage: Bacteria
Description: partial 16S ribosomal RNA
Rfam family: Bacterial small subunit ribosomal RNA
Source: RNAcentral